Erinaceus europaeus (western European hedgehog) is the source of this 312-nucleotide unclassified non-coding RNA. Its record names the gene 7SK. It matches the Rfam family "7SK RNA". From Rfam's summary of the family: 7SK was discovered as an abundant small nuclear RNA in the mid-70s but a possible function has only recently been suggested. The record is from Ensembl. NCBI's taxonomy places the organism in Eukaryota, Metazoa, Chordata, Mammalia, Eulipotyphla, Erinaceidae.
GGAUGUGAGGGCGAUCUGGCUGCGACAUCUGUCACCCCAUUGAUCGCCAGGGUUGAUUCGGCUGAUCUGGCUGGCUAGGCGGGUGUCCCCUUCCUCCCUCACCGCUCCAUGUGCGUCCCUCCCGAAGCUGCGCGCUCGGUCGAAGAGGACGGCCUUCCCCGAAUAGAGACGGACCGGUCUUCGGUCGAGGGUAUACGAGUAGCUGCGCUCCCCUGCUAGAACCUCCAAACAAGCUCUCAAAAUGGGUGGGGCUGAGAGGCGGCUCUCCCACAUGCUUGACUGGGGCGGGGAACAAGGUUCAAGCCUCUGGCC